GGCGGUAUGGCUCGGUUGGUAGAGUGCCUGGCCAGCAACUUGAGGGUUGCAGGUUCGAUCCCUGCUUCUGCCA
Non-coding RNA from Entelurus aequoreus (snake pipefish), 73 nucleotides. The record is from the annotation of a RefSeq genome assembly. Lineage: Eukaryota; Metazoa; Chordata; Actinopteri; Syngnathiformes; Syngnathidae.